This 482-nucleotide long non-coding RNA is filed under the name Mustela putorius furo (domestic ferret). RNAcentral's name for it is "lncRNA (ENSMPUG00000027986.1)". The record is from RNAcentral. Lineage: Eukaryota; Metazoa; Chordata; Mammalia; Carnivora; Mustelidae.
GAAAACAGGCUCAAGUAGGCUGAGUAACUUACAAGGCUACAUAGUUAGAAUAUGACAAAGCCACCUUCAAAUCAGUCUGGCCAUAAACCUGGAGCUUCGGACAACCAGUAUAUCUACCAAACCCUGAAGGUUCCUACCAAGUCGGAAAAGUGAAAACAACGUCAAUUCUUUCCUGAAUUGAAGAUAAUGACCACAGUGUAUUUAGGAAGUUAUAUUUAAAUCUAAAUUAUAUUUAGAACACCUCUGUUUAGCAGCGUGGCUGGGGGCGACUCUCCACCAGGACAGAUCUCAGUGGAAACAAGAAGGACUGAACUUCCAGGAGACCCCUCAUUUGAGUGGGUAAGAGAAGGCUCUCCCUGCCCCCCGCUGUGACCACCGGCUGCUGCUGUUCACAAAUUAGGUUUCAGGAAGCUCAUACAAAUGCCUCCCACAGGAUCCCUCUGUUAUUUGACAUGAUCUUGAAAUAAUCCCUUCAAAGCCAG